RNAcentral lists this ribosomal RNA (411 nucleotides) under uncultured bacterium. RNAcentral's name for it is "bacterial SSU rRNA". It matches the Rfam family "Bacterial small subunit ribosomal RNA", at positions 390 to 793 of the family's 1533-position model. The record is from RNAcentral.
AGCCAUGCCGCGUGUGUGAAGAAGGCCUUCGGGUUGUAAAGCACUUUCAGUUGUGAGGAAGGUGGUGUCGUUAAUAGCGGCAUCAUUUGACGUUAGCAACAGAAGAAGCACCGGCUAACUCCGUGCCAGCAGCCGCGGUAAUACGGAGGGUGCGAGCGUUAAUCGGAAUUACUGGGCGUAAAGCGCAUGCAGGUGGUUUGUUAAGUCAGAUGUGAAAGCCCGGGGCUCAACCUCGGAACUGCAUUUGAAACUGGCAGACUAGAGUACUGUAGAGGGGGUAGAAGUUUCAGGUGUAGCGGUGAAAUGCGUAGAGAUCUGAAGGAAUACCGGUGGCGAAGGCGGCCCCCUGGACAGAUACUGACACUCAGAUGCGAAAGCGUGGGGAGCAAACAGGAUUAGAUACCCUGGUAG